GUACAUAUAGUUUAAACAAAACAUUAGAUUGUGAAUCUAACGAUAGAAGCUUGAACCUUCUUAUAUACC
This 69-nucleotide transfer RNA is filed under the name Megaladapis edwardsi. RNAcentral's name for it is "tRNA-His". It matches the Rfam family "tRNA". From Rfam's summary of the family: Transfer RNA (tRNA) molecules are approximately 80 nucleotides in length. Their secondary structure includes four short double-helical elements and three loops (D, anti-codon, and T loops). Lineage: Eukaryota; Metazoa; Chordata; Mammalia; Primates; Lepilemuridae. The record is from RNAcentral.